This is a non-coding RNA of Mycena vulgaris, 87 nucleotides long. The record is from the annotation of a GenBank genome assembly. Lineage: Eukaryota; Fungi; Basidiomycota; Agaricomycetes; Agaricales; Mycenaceae.
GGUAGCAUGGUGUAUGGUGCAUGCGGGAAUCUCUUAAUGGUGCCUGGAUUUCUUCCCGAGGUCCUCGUUCGAUUCGAGGUGCUGCUA